RNAcentral lists this ribosomal RNA (305 nucleotides) under uncultured bacterium. RNAcentral describes it as "bacterial SSU rRNA". It matches the Rfam family "Bacterial small subunit ribosomal RNA", at positions 337 to 634 of the family's 1533-position model. The record is from RNAcentral.
CCCUACGGGGGGCAGCAGUAGGGAAUCUUCCACAAUGGGCGAAAGCCUGAUGGAGCAACGCCGCGUGGGUGAAGAAGGUCUUAGAAUCGUCCAACCCUGUUGUUAGAACAGACAGUGCGUGAGAGUAACUGUUCACGUUUCGACGGUAUCUAACCAGAAAGCCACGGCUAACUACGUGCCAGCAGCCGCGGUACUACGUAGGUGGCAACAGUUAUCCGGACUUAUUGGGCGUAAAGGGAACGCAGGCGGUCUUUUAAGUCUGAUGUGAAAGCCUUCGGCUUAACCGGAGUAGUGCAUUGGAAACU